GUGCUUGCUUGGACAACACAUCUACUAAAAUUGGAAUGAUACAGAGAUUAGCAUGUGCCCUGUGCAAGGGUGACACACAAAUUCUUGAAGCAUGAAUACUGCCA
Sarcophilus harrisii (Tasmanian devil) is the source of this 104-nucleotide small nuclear RNA. The record is from Ensembl. NCBI's taxonomy places the organism in Eukaryota, Metazoa, Chordata, Mammalia, Dasyuromorphia, Dasyuridae.